RNAcentral lists this long non-coding RNA (3258 nucleotides) under Pan troglodytes (chimpanzee). RNAcentral describes it as "long non-coding RNA NONPTRT017038". The record is from RNAcentral. Lineage: Eukaryota; Metazoa; Chordata; Mammalia; Primates; Hominidae.
UUACUUGGGUCUGAGUCUUCCAGGCAGUUGUCCUAACUUUAGCUCAGGAAACUUUUUUUUUUGAGACAGAGUCUCGCUCUGUCUUCCAAGUUAGAGUAUAAUGGUGCGAUCUCAGCUCACAGCAGCCUCUGCCUCCCAGGGUCAGAUGAUCCUCCUGGCCUCAGUGUCCUGAGUAAAUGGGAUACUACAGGCAUGUGCUACCACUCCUUGGUCAACACCCUCACCACUCAACUGAUAUCUUACUGCUUUUAUGAAGCCUUCCUUGAUUCCUCCGGCGGGGUGAUACCUCUCUCAGUAUCUUCCGUGGUAUGUUGAUGAAGAAAGACAUCUCAAUUUCCCUCUGAAUCUCCAGCUUCAGGGCAUGGCAGGCCAUUUGAAGACUUCUGGAGUCAAGAGAUAAAGGGAAGCAUUAGUUCCAUUGGGUCCCGUUUGAUCUUUAUACCAUCAACACGGGGCUCAGAGCUUCCCUGCUUCCCUUUCGCUCGUCAAGGUCGCCAGAAGGACAUGGGCCUUUUGAUGUUCAAAGACAGUCUGAACGCCUCGCCUGGCCUUCUGAGCCUGAGCGUGCUGUUGGCAGGCUCUUCUGAAUCAAGUUGGGGCAGAGGAGGAUUCCUUGUCUCUUUCUGAGGCAGAUCCCACAGUCGUUAGGAGCUGGAUGAGCACGUUCUUUAAUAGAUUUCCUUUUUAUUUUUCUGGGUCUCAUCUGAAAUUUUUGACCCUUGCAUGUCUCCAUUCUCUCAACCUUCUUUCUGAUCAGAAAAUUCCUUUUGUAAUUUUGGCUACACAAGAGUAGCAAGGAAUGCUUAGGGGGCAAACAGAGUACUUCGAGAACAGCAUGCAUUCGGGCCAAGCUCCCAAGGCCAUGCUGAGCAUACCUCUCUGCAGCUCACAGCUUCGGGAAGCUGAGAGGAACAGAGGUCCUCAAUCUCAGAAAGAAACAAAAGCAGAUCACGGAAUCACCCCUCCCUUUUCCCUUAGUGAAAUAUUUUAAUGAGUUUUGAGGCUGUCUCUGUGUGUAUGAAAUGCCAGGGGUCUGCAUCUCAGCUGUUAUGACCAGAGGUCUUCUCUUGGGUGCUGGUGACGACUGAGGACUAGCUGGCUUCAGGAGAGCUGCUUCAGCUGCUUUUCCUGCCAGCCACACAGCAGGAGCAAGAAACAACUUUGGCUGGGCAUGGUGGCUAACGACUGUAAUCCCAGCACUUUGGGAAGCCAAGCCAGGAGGAUCAGGAGGUCAGGAGUUCAAGACCAGCCUGGCCAACAUAGUGAAACCCCAUCUCUACUAAAAAUACAAAAAAUUACCUGGGCCUGGUGGCGGACGCCUGUAAUCCCAGCUACUUGGGAGGCUGAGGCAGGAGAAUCACUUGAAGCCGGGAGGCAGAGGUUUCAGUAAGCAGAGAUCACACCACUGCACUCCAGCCUGGAUGACAGUGCGAGACUCCAUCUCAAAAAAAAAAUAAAAAAAUAAAAAAAAUAAAAAGCAAAAGAAACAACUUUGCAGUUGUUUUUUUGCAGUUGUUGCACUGAGAGGAGUAGGAGGUAAGAGAGAGAGGGGCAUGUGUUAGUUUGCCUGCUGUCACUCAGUGACUUGGAGGAAUGGAGAUUUAGAUCAAGGAUACAUGUCCAAGAAGGGAGACAAUAUGUCACAGUAUCCCCAAAACGAACCAUGGGGCUGGGCUCAGAGACAUGGGAGCAUAGCUUGGGAACUUAAAGACACAACUCAAGUCACUAGAUUCUCUGACUCCCUCCGCCCCAGCCUCUGCAUUUAUUGGUCCCUUACAAUUAUGGUGACUCAGAAUGUCUCAGUUUCUACUUCUAGCACUCAGGACACAGCCCAUUGGUGAUCUGAUUCUCCACCCUUUGCAUAUGUUUGUUUCUGUUGCUCUGAUCUUUGGCUUACUCAUGGAGUCUACCUACUUUUGGGCCUUCAUGGCCUGUCUUCCUUCUGUGUGAUUUUCAGUACUCUUUGGCUCCCACUCCCACAAUUAGCUGUUGAUUCUUUUUUCCUGUACCUUCUGUGUAAGUUCAAUAGAAAGAGAAUUUUUGAUUGGUUGGAGUGAAUCAUCACUAGCCUUCCUGCUCUUUGGUCAUGAGGUACUUCAUAGGUCCAACCUAUAGAGUUGGCCAACCUUGGGGCAGGAGCUCACCCUAACUCCAGCCAGCUUGGCCAGAGGCACCAACACGCUGGUCAAAGCAGGGCAGCACAUAGAAGAUUUGAGAAAUGAUCUGCUUAAUGCAAUGGGUUUUAGGGGAUGACAGUUCUUUCACUUUGUAGCUGUGUGACCUUGGGUGACUUCUUUAAUUUUUCUGAGCUUAUUUCUUUGCCUGUAAAAAUGUGGAUGAAGAUACUAUCUUGCAGUGAUGUGUGGAUUAGAGGUAAAUUAUCUAAAGUAUCUAAUAAACAAUGUGUGCUCAGGUGCUUCAUAAAUACUUUUUAUUAUGACGCUGCUGCAUUGGUCUGCCUGAGUCUGGAUUUUGCAUGUUGCUCUGACAUAAUUUUGGUGGCAGGAGCCCAUAUUUUGAUUCAGAUCCCAUGAUUCCAAAAACACUAUCUUUGGUGGUAAAAAUAAGAAUCAAGUAAGUGCAGAGGGCAUCACUAAGAAACACUGAGGAUAUAUUCCUGAUUACGUUUUAAGGUCACCGGAAAGUCUGGCUGGAAAUAAAAGGCAAGAUUCGGGAUGCUUCCUCUUCAGUCAUUGAACAAGCGUGACUCCAGUUAAAUCUGAAAUGAGACAGCAGUCAAGGUUUCUUGGCUCAUCUCUUUCAACAAUUCAUUUAAGAAUAGCUGCAAUACCUUUGAAGUAAGACUAUUUGAGUAAGACUUUUAAGAAACAGUGGUGAUAGUUUAGAGAUACGUGAAUGAGAUAAAUGCGCAUUCACUGUGAGAAACCCUGAUGUCUGGUUAUCAAUGAUUUGCAAUUAAUGGACACAGCAGAAGCUGCAAUCAACCCUGAUCAGAGCCAUCUGGAGAAGAAGCAGAACAAAACUAGGACAUUCUCCCCCAGCUAUGACCCCUGAGAGAGAAAUUAGUGAUUGCCCACAGGCUUCUCGAUCGAUCACUCCCCUUGGCUAGCUUAGCAUAUGCUCCACUCUUCCACCUCCUUCUGGAUUUCAGGUUUAAUUCCCAGCCACCAGACAGAGCUUCUAGCCAACUCUUCCAUGUGAAGGAUUCCGAGGUAAGCUACAUACAGUAGAGCCAAGCCUUAAUAUAAACGUGAUUCUUCAUAGAGUGCUUUGUAGCCAGAUAGCUGAUGUUGAUCA